UCUCACCACGAGAUGAGUCCGCGUCCCAUCAGCUAGUUGGCGGUGUAAUACGAACCACCAAGGCUUAGACGGGUAGCUGGUCUGAGAGGAUGACCAGCCACACUGGGACUGAGACAGGCCCAGACUCCUACGGGAGGCAGCAGUGGGGAAUAUUGGACAAUGGGCGAAAGCCUGAUCCAGCCAUGCCGCGUGAGUGAUGAAGGCCUUCGGGGUCGUAAAGCUCUGUGGGGAGGGACGAAAAAGCGUGACCUAAUACGUCUCGCCUUGACGGUACCUCCUUAGCAAGCACCGGCUAACUCCGUGCCAGCAGCCGCGGUAAUACGGAGGGUGCAAACGUUGCUCGGAAUUAUUGGGCGUAAAGCGCACGUAGGCGGUCCGCUAAGUCGGAUGUGAAAGCCCUCGGCUUAACCGAGGAAGUGCAUCCGAAACUGACGGGGCUAGAGUACGGAAGAGGGUUUCGGAAUUCCCGGUGUAGAGGUGAAAUUCGUAGAUAUCGGGAG
This 500-nucleotide ribosomal RNA is filed under the name uncultured bacterium. RNAcentral's name for it is "bacterial SSU rRNA". It matches the Rfam family "Bacterial small subunit ribosomal RNA", at positions 213 to 703 of the family's 1533-position model. The record is from RNAcentral.